This 468-nucleotide ribosomal RNA is filed under the name uncultured bacterium. Its description in RNAcentral is "partial 16S ribosomal RNA". It matches the Rfam family "Bacterial small subunit ribosomal RNA", at positions 28 to 507 of the family's 1533-position model. The record is from RNAcentral.
GACGAACGCUGGCGGCGUGCUUAACACGUGCAAGUCGAACGGAAAGGCCCUGCUUUUGUGGGGUGCUCGAGUGGCGAACGGGUGAGUAACACGUGAGUAACCUGCCCUUGACUUUGGGAUAACUUCAGGAAACUGGGGCUAAUACCGGAUAGGAGCUCCUGCUGCAUGGUGGGGGUUGGAAAGUUUCGGCGGUUGGGGAUGGACUCGCGGCUUAUCAGCUUGUUGGUGGGGUAGUGGCUUACCAAGGCUUUGACGGGUAGCCGGCCUGAGAGGGUGACCGGCCACAUUGGGACUGAGAUACGGCCCAGACUCCUACGGGAGGCAGCAGUGGGGAAUAUUGCACAAUGGGCGGAAGCCUGAUGCAGCAACGCAGCGUGCGGGAUGACGGCCUUCGGGUUGUAAACCGCUUUCGCCUGUGACGAAGCGUGAGUGACGGUAAUGGGUAAAGAAGCACCGGCUAACUACGUG